CCCUUAAGAGGAAGUAUACAAAAAACAUGUUACACUGUACUUUUCUAUAUGUACGUUUUGGAAUUUUAUGUUUAAGUGUGUUUUAUGUUCAGUAAAAUCUUUUUUUUUUUUUUUUUUUAAGUUUGAGAGAGAAUGCACCAGUGGGGGAGGGGCAGAGAGAGAGGGAGAUCCCAAACAGGCUCCACACCGUCAGCACAGAGCCUGAUGUGGGGCUCCAAUCCAUGAAGUGUGAGCUCAUGACCUGAGCCAAAAUCAAGAGUUGGAUGUUUUUAACUGACUGAGCCAUGCAGGCACCCCUUUUCUUAAUAGUCACUCUAUCAAGUGAUUUUAUUAAAACCUUAGUAAGUUAUACUUUAGAUGAUGUAUUUCCACUGCUUAAACACAACCUUAUUUCACUUACUGAAACAAAACUGCAAAGGUCUCCUCAUGAAUAGUCAUGUACUAUCUUUCCCAAUAAUGCAAUUAAAACCAAUUAAUAUUGUAAAUAAGUUUUAGAUCUGUAGAGUGUAUAAGGUUUUAUAUAAUUGCCCCACUCUUCUCUCUUCCCUUUCCCUAAAAUUCUGGAUUGCCUGCUGAGUCAUUUUUCUAAUUCUUUCAGAACCCCCCAAAUCUGAUUAUUCCUCCUGUCAUUUCUCCUGCCAUUUCUGAACCUAUCAGUAACCAAGAACUACACUACUGCCCCAUCCAUUUUAUGGAACAAUGCUCAACAAAAUCCUGGGACAAGUUCGUUCUGCUCUUCAGGAAGUAGAAAUCUUUUCUCCAGAGGAAGCUCUACCUAAUUAUCAACUGAGUUCCAGGAAAGUAAAGCCAGUGCCCCAGGCCCUGUCUUGCCUAAUGUCAUUCCAGAUCUACUUGGAUAAAUUCCAAAUAAAGAAACAACCAAGCUAGGAUGUUGUUGACUUAUCAUCUUAUUCUCCAUUUUUCAAAGGAAUGACAUUAUCAGUUGUAUGGUUGAUUUAUAUGAAUUUUUAAAUAGGUAUUUUAAUUUAGCUCACAUAUUGAACUACCAAAGUUCAUAUUUUGUCAUAUUUUGAUAUUGAUUUGAAAAGAGAUAAAAAAAUUUACAUAUAUGUAUGUACCAUUCUACUUUUGCUUACGAAUAUGUAUGUCUAAUAAAAUGAAAGAUAAUUUUAUGAACGUGUUAGCUGUAUAAAGAUGCAUAGUAACUUUUUUUCUUCAAUGUUAACAACACAUGUGAUUUAAUCAACAUAAAAGUAAACUUUAGGGGAAGAGAAUAAUUUAUUAGUUUUUUGAUAAAGAGGAUAGAAAAUUAGUAUGUUUUUAGUGUAUAUCAAGAGUUAGCUUUUACCUUCAAAACAGUUAAAUUACAGGUAAAACCAAGAAAAACUAUUUCCCUUUAACCAAUAUUAUUUUUUGUAGCAAUGACUUUGAAAGUUCUAAAUAAAAUUUUCAUCUUAAAAGAAUGUAUCCAUUUUUUGGUUAAAAGCUUGUUUGGGAUGAACUGCUAUUUCCUACAUUAAUCAAAUGCUGGCAACCUGAAUAGCAUCACAGCUACUUACAAGAUAUCAGAUGAAAAGAAUCAGUAUACUAGAAUGAGCCACACACUUUAACAAGCCUGUGAACAGUGAAGAAAAUAUAAUGCCCUGUGUUUGAGGAUUUUAUAUUACCUUAAGGAGGCGAUGACAGUAUUACAGAUAUUUAAAAAAAAAAAAAAAAAAAGAAAGUAAACUAUUCCAAAAACUGUGA
Long non-coding RNA from Neofelis nebulosa (Clouded leopard), 1707 nucleotides. RefSeq lists it as uncharacterized. NCBI's taxonomy places the organism in Eukaryota, Metazoa, Chordata, Mammalia, Carnivora, Felidae. The transcript has 2 exons. The record is from RefSeq and is a predicted model, not a curated record.